GCCGAAGUGGUGGAACUGGUAGACACGCACGCUUGAGGGGCGUGUGACCUAACGGUCGUGCGAGUUCGAUUCUCGCCUUCGGCACCA
Molecule: transfer RNA, 87 nt
Filed under: Desulfuromonas sp.
Lineage: Bacteria; Pseudomonadati; Thermodesulfobacteriota; Desulfuromonadia; Desulfuromonadales; Desulfuromonadaceae
Also listed under: 2 other names
Description: tRNA-Leu
Rfam family: tRNA
About the family: Transfer RNA (tRNA) molecules are approximately 80 nucleotides in length. Their secondary structure includes four short double-helical elements and three loops (D, anti-codon, and T loops).
Source: RNAcentral